Long non-coding RNA from Sphaeramia orbicularis (orbiculate cardinalfish), 794 nucleotides. RefSeq lists it as uncharacterized. The record is from RefSeq and is a predicted model, not a curated record. NCBI's taxonomy places the organism in Eukaryota, Metazoa, Chordata, Actinopteri, Kurtiformes, Apogonidae. The transcript has 2 exons.
GUUUUCUCCAUCAGUUUCAGUUCAGUUCUUUUUCUUCUUUCAUCGACCUGUUUGAUCCAUGCAUUGGGGUUCUUUCCAUCUUUCUUUCUUUCUGUCUUUCUUUCUUUGUGGAAUUGCCAAAUGCUUCAGCCAAAGAUGUUUCAGUUGGACUUCAUCUGACCUGCUUACACUGUCCCAGUCUAAACUGGUGUAAAUUAGUUUAAACUAGUCUAAACCUGUUUAAACUGGUCUAAACCCUUCCUACUGUCUGAAAAGCACAUGCAUGUGUCCACUGCUUCCCUAAACCCGUGUAAACCAGUCUAAACCUGUUUAAACCAUCCUACUGUCUGAAGAGCACUUGCAUGUGUCCACUGCCUCCCUAAACCUGUUUAAACCGGUCUAAACCCAUUUAAAGCGGUCUACAUGCCUCCCUUUGCUCUUCAUCCUUUCUUCUGUCAUUUCCAUCCAGACCGUGGCUGUGGUCGAAGCUCUACAUUCAGCUCCUGGUUCUGAACAGGACAGUUGGACGUGAACUGAACCGGUCCAAGCUCUGCUUCUGGACCAGGUCUAAAGGAGGACGCAGAGGGACACUGUGGGUCCUACUGUGGGUCCUACUGUGGGUCCUUCUGUGGGUCCUUCUGUGGGUCCUUCUGUGUCCUGGUGGUUUCUGUCAGAACUGUCCUUGUUUGGGGUUUGUGUUUCCUUUCAUCCGUCCUUCUUCCGUCCAAACAUCUGAGUGUCUCCUUCCCAAAAUAUGAAUUAAUUUUUUAAAUUACAAACAAUUCAAUAAACUGUGUAUUAAUUAUAAUACACAA